RNAcentral lists this ribosomal RNA (468 nucleotides) under uncultured bacterium. Its description in RNAcentral is "partial 16S ribosomal RNA". It matches the Rfam family "Bacterial small subunit ribosomal RNA", at positions 28 to 507 of the family's 1533-position model. The record is from RNAcentral.
GACGAACGCUGGCGGCGUGCUUAACACAUGCAAGUCGAACGGAAAGGCCCUGCUUUUGUGGGGUGCUCGAGUGGCGAACGGGUGAGUAACACGUGAGUAACCUGCCCUUGACUUUGGGAUAACUUCAGGCAACUGGGGCUAAUACCGGAUAGGAGCUCCUGCUGCAUGGGGGGGGUUGGAAAGUUUCGGCGGUUGGGGCUGGACUCGCGGCUUAUCAGCUGGUUGGGGGGGUAGUGGCUUACCAAGGCUUUGACGGGUAGCCGGCCUGGGAGGGUGACCGGCCACCUUGGUCCUGCGGUACGCACCAGACUCCUACGGGAGGCAGCAGUGGGGAAUAUUGCCCAAUGGGCGGACGCCUGAUGCAGCAACGCCGCGUGCGGGAUGACGGCCUUCGGGUUGUAAACCGCUUUCGCCUGUGACGAAGCGUGAGUGACGGUAAUGGGUAAAGAAGCACCGGCUAACUACGUG